This 465-nucleotide ribosomal RNA is filed under the name uncultured bacterium. Its description in RNAcentral is "bacterial SSU rRNA". It matches the Rfam family "Bacterial small subunit ribosomal RNA", at positions 338 to 795 of the family's 1533-position model. The record is from RNAcentral.
CCUACGGGCUGCACCAGUGGGGAAUAUUGCACAAUGGGCGCAAGCCUGAUGCAGCCAUGCCGCGUGUAUGAAGAAGGCCUUCGGGUUGUAAAGUACUUUCAGCGGGGAGGAAGGCGGUAAGGUUAAUAACCUUGUCGAUUGACGUUACCCGCAGAAGAAGCACCGGCUAACUCCGUGCCAGCAGCCGCGGUAAUACGGAGGGUGCAAGCGUUAAUCGGAAUUACUAGGCGUAAAGCGCACGCAGGCGGUCUGUCAAGUCGGAUGUGAAAUCCCCGGGCUCAACUUGGGAACUGCAUUCGAAACUGACAGGCUAGAGUCUUGUAGAGGGGGGUAGAAUUCCAGGUGUAGCGGUGAAAUGCGUAGAGAUCUGGAGGAAUACCGGUGGCGAAGGCGGCCCCCUGGACAAAGACUGACGCUCAGGUGCGAAAGCGUGGGGAGCAAACAGGAUUAGAUACCCCUGUAGUC